CCUACGGGAGGCAGCAGUGAGGAAUAUUGGUCAAUGGUCGGGAGACUGAACCAGCCAAGCCGCGUGAGGGAGGAAGGUACAGAGUAUCGUAAACCUCUUUUGUCAGGGAACAAAGGCGGGGAAGUGUCCCCGGAUGAGUGUACCUGAAGAAAAAGCAUCGGCUAACUCCGUGCCAGCAGCCGCGGUAAUACGGGGGAUGCGAGUGUUAUCCGGAUUUAUUGGGUUAAAAGGGUGCGCAGGCGGUCUGUUCAGUCAGCGGUCAAAGCCCGGGGCUCAACCCCGGCCCGCCGUGGAAACUGGGAGUCUCGAGUAGGGGAGAGGUAUGCGGAAUGCGCGGUGUAGCGGUGAAAUGCAGAGAUAUCGAGCAGAACUCCGAUUGCGAAGGCAGCAUGCCGGCUCCACACUGACGCUGAGGCACGAAAGCGUGGGUAUCGAAAAGGAUUAGAUACCCCGGUAGUC
RNAcentral lists this ribosomal RNA (459 nucleotides) under uncultured bacterium. Its description in RNAcentral is "partial 16S ribosomal RNA". It matches the Rfam family "Bacterial small subunit ribosomal RNA", at positions 338 to 795 of the family's 1533-position model. The record is from RNAcentral.